RNAcentral lists this ribosomal RNA (430 nucleotides) under Bacillota bacterium. Its description in RNAcentral is "Firmicutes bacterium partial 16S ribosomal RNA". It matches the Rfam family "Bacterial small subunit ribosomal RNA", at positions 355 to 776 of the family's 1533-position model. The record is from RNAcentral. Lineage: Bacteria; Bacillati; Bacillota.
UGGGGAAUAUUGGACAAUGGGCGAAAGCCUGAUCCAGCCAUGCCGCGUGUGUGAAGAAGGCCUUUUGGUUGUAAAGCACUUUAAGCGAGGAGGAGGCUACUUGGAUUAAUACUCUAGGAUAGUGGACGUUACUCGCAGAAUAAGCACCGGCUAACUCUGUGCCAGCAGCCGCGGUAAUACAGAGGGUGCGAGCGUUAAUCGGAUUUACUGGGCGUAAAGCGUGCGUAGGCGGCUUCUUAAGUCGGAUGUGAAAUCCCUGUGCUUAACUUAGGAAUUGCAUUCGAUACUGGGAAGCUAGAGUAUGGGAGAGGAUGGUAGAAUUCCAGGUGUAGCGGUGAAAUGCGUAGAGGUCUGGAGGAAUACCGAUGGCGAAGGCAGCCAUCUGGCCUAAUACUGACGCUGAGGUACGAAAGCAUGGGGAGCAAACAGG